RNAcentral lists this long non-coding RNA (332 nucleotides) under Mytilus galloprovincialis (Mediterranean mussel). Lineage: Eukaryota; Metazoa; Mollusca; Bivalvia; Mytilida; Mytilidae. The record is from RNAcentral.
CCGGUACUAUAAUGUCAUCCGGUAAACUGUAAACAAACGCACGUGGACGAUGAUCACAUGGGUCGGAAUGUUAGUAAACAUAAGCACGUGGUAAAGUUCAUCACAUGGUACCAUAACGGAAGUAAACAAACACACAUGGUCACUGUAUACAUGGACUCGAGACAUCUAAUGGUGGUCACUGACAUCAAAUCUGGAUCUCCACAAAAACUGGUAUGUGCCAUCAACCCAACGAAACGUGGGCGCCAUUUGUAGUAGGUGGUUUUUCUAUGCGUUAGGAAUAACACCAAUGAGAGCUUAAGGUUCUGAUUCUUUAUUGUACCAGUAUAUAAAUA